AAGUUUUAUCGGACACUGUAUGCCGGAACGCAACAUUUGGAUGCCGGUGGUCGUCCGUGGCGGGGAACAAAUCCGGUCGAGGAUGAAGCAGCGACAGAUCUAACAAUAGGUAGCGGCACCGAGGACGGCACCUCUGUGAAGGGGGAGCAGAUUCUUGCGACACCCUGGGUUGACGGAGUGGCAGCAGCGACCGGCACCGGAGAUCCUCGAAGGUGUGGCGGAGGGUUCCGGCGCGUUUCUCCGAUAUUGGCAAGACCAGCUCCACUCCUUGCGGCAGUCUCCCUUGGGAUCUCGAAGAGGAGGCUAGAACGACAAAGAAGCAGGUGGCGGUGGCGUUUCCAAGGAAUUGCGAUGGAGCACAAGACAGCGACGGGUUGCCGCAGCUAGCAGUGGAUUCUGCAAUGGAUGGUACGAAUGGAACUGAGGGAAGGUGGAGAAGGAGCCACUGGAGCCAGACGGUAG
Molecule: non-coding RNA, 462 nt
Organism: Arachis ipaensis
Lineage: Eukaryota; Viridiplantae; Streptophyta; Magnoliopsida; Fabales; Fabaceae
Source: RefSeq, a predicted model, not a curated record